This is a long non-coding RNA of Oncorhynchus nerka (sockeye salmon), 1114 nucleotides long. RefSeq lists it as uncharacterized. The record is from RefSeq and is a predicted model, not a curated record. Lineage: Eukaryota; Metazoa; Chordata; Actinopteri; Salmoniformes; Salmonidae. The transcript is spliced from 2 exons.
GGUUCUACCACAAUGUCAGGCCACAGAUCGACACAACACGCAUGGAGGAAGGCCGCGUUGACAAACCAUAUGAGCUCUGCCAAACCAGAUCAAUGUCACAGGCUUAGACCUAAUGGCAGGAUGGUGAACGAGGAGAGAAGUUUGAUGUGGGAUUUCAGCAAGCUGGCAAAUGACCAUUUCCAGGCACCAUAUUCCCAAGACGCCCCGGUGCUGCUUUUCUUCUCUUCCUGAUGGAAUCGGAUGAGCACAACCAAGGGAGACAUUGUUAUCCACUGGCUAGGAUCCCCAAAAAAAACAAGGCGUUACCAAGACAGCCCGCUCUGACAGCUCACCAUAUGAGAAUAUACGUCAAGACAACAGGGAAAAAUAAUAAUAAUAUGAUUUAAAACACUUCAGUUUUAAAAAAUCCUUUCAUGUACCAUAAAUCGAGUGAAAUGAUAGCUUUCCCUUCCCUUCUGUAAACUGUGUGUAUAAUGCACUUUCUAGAACAACUCUCACUUCCAAAAGAAUAGGUGGAUGCAGCAGCAGCAGUUGAUUUGGAAAAAUGAUGUGCAAAUUGAAAUGAAUUGAAAUGGUUACAGAUUUCUACAGGGUCGAAGGGAUUUGAAUGGGAAGGAAUAAAAAAUAGUAUUUUCAAAAUACGCAUCUAAGAGGAAAAAAAUAAGGGGGGCCCUAAGUGUGAAAGUUAAUGUAUAGAUCUGUGCUAGGCAAGAAGGAUGUGAAUGCUCCUUCUGUCUGGGCACUUAUAGAGCAGUGAUGUCCUGGAUUACAGGGUAAAUCUGGGGAGAGAGGAACACCAGAGAUCAGCCCCCCCCUGUGGGGUGCAGGCUGACGCAGAAGAAGGUGGGAAAAUACAUAAUUUAAUGGAUAGCAAAUAUUCUUUAAUGCUUUCACACGUAACGGUUCAAAUUACUGUGUCUCGUGAUCUCAUUUGAAGAAAAAAACGGAGAAUGGGACUUCCAUUUCCCCGUGAAGCAGAACAUAUUGCAGAGGUGAGCACCAUUAGAGAUCUUCAGACAUGAUAACUCAACAGAAUGAACCGCUUGGUGGUGAUUUUGUCUCAACAGGGUCCUAAGAGCCUAUCUACAAGUAAAGGUUUGAUUUAGAAAAUACA